UACGGAGGGUGCGAGCGUUUGUCCGGAAUCAUUGGGCGUAAAGGGCGCGUAGGUGGCCCGCUCAGCGUGCGGUGAAAGCUCGGGGCUCAACCCCGAGUCGGCCGUGCGAACUGGUGGGCUGGAGCACUGUAGAGGCAGGCGGAAUUCCGGGUGUAGCGGUGGAAUGCGUAGAGAUCCGGAAGAACACCGGUGGCGAAGGCGGCCUGCUGGGCAGUUGCUGACACUGAGGCGCGACAGCGUGGGGAGCAAACAGG
This 254-nucleotide ribosomal RNA is filed under the name uncultured bacterium. Its description in RNAcentral is "partial 16S ribosomal RNA". It matches the Rfam family "Bacterial small subunit ribosomal RNA", at positions 524 to 776 of the family's 1533-position model. The record is from RNAcentral.